RNAcentral lists this ribosomal RNA (775 nucleotides) under uncultured Neocallimastigales. Its description in RNAcentral is "partial large subunit ribosomal RNA". It matches the Rfam family "Eukaryotic large subunit ribosomal RNA", at positions 23 to 626 of the family's 3401-position model. The record is from RNAcentral. Lineage: Eukaryota; Fungi; Neocallimastigomycota; Neocallimastigomycetes; Neocallimastigales.
AGAGAGAGACAUGCGCGCAUAUCAAUAAGCGGAGGAAAAGAAACUAACAAGGAUUCCCCUAGUAACGGCGAGUGAAGCGGGAAGAGCUCAAAUUUGAAAUCUUCAAGGUUUUACCUUGACGAAUUGUAGUUUAAAGAAGUGUUUUCUGCUGAAGUUUUGGUAAAAGUUCUUUGGAAUAGGACAUCAUAGAGGGUGAGAAUCCCGUAUUUGACCAUUGUUUUCAGCUUUGUGAUACACUUUCAAAGAGUCGGAUUGUUUGGGGAUGCAGUCCAAAAUGGGUGGUAAAUUUCAUCUAAAGCUAAAUAUUGGCGAGAGACCGAUAGCGAACAAGUACCGUGAGGGAAAGAUGAAAAGAACUUUGAAAAGAGAGUUAAACAGUACGUGAAAUUGUCAAAAGGGAAGCGUUUGACACCAGUGUUGUUUUCUCGAAAAUCAAUUAAAAAUGGCUCGAUUUUGUAUUGCUUGAGACCUUAAAAGCUCACUGUACAUUUUUCGUGUCUUUUUUAAUGCACUUUUCGUUUAACAAGUCAACAUCAGUUUCUUUUGUUGUAAAAGGGUCAUUGGAAGGUGGCUUUCUUUUCGGAGAAAGUGUUUAUAGCCUUUGGCCUCUGCAAUCGGAGAGACUGAGGUCUGCAGCGUAGACUCUUCGGGGUUAGAUACAUUUGUGCUAAGUUAUAGCUUUUUAUAGACAACUUGUUGACUAUAAUUAGUCUUGUAGCUUACUCGCUUAUGCUAUUUUACCUACGCUUAGGAUGUUGAGUCGUAGAGCACGCAG